This 504-nucleotide ribosomal RNA is filed under the name uncultured bacterium. Its description in RNAcentral is "partial 16S ribosomal RNA". It matches the Rfam family "Bacterial small subunit ribosomal RNA", at positions 30 to 523 of the family's 1533-position model. The record is from RNAcentral.
AUUGAACGCUGGCGGCAGGCCUAACACAUGCAAGUCGAACGGUAGCACAGAGAGCUUGCUCUCGGGUGACGAGUGGCGGACGGGUGAGUAAUGUCUGGGAAACUGCCCGAUGGAGGGGGAUAACUACUGGAAACGGUAGCUAAUACCGCAUAACGUCGCAAGACCAAAGUGGGGGACCUUCGGGCCUCACACCAUCGGAUGUGCCCAGAUGGGAUUAGCUAGUAGGUGGGAUAAUGGUUCACCUAGGCGACGAUCCCUAGCUGGUCUGAGAGGAUGACCAGCCACACUGGAACUGAGAUACGGUCCAGGCUCCUACGGGAGGCAGCAGUGGGGAAUAUUGCACAAUGGGCGCAAGCCUGAUGCAGCCAUGCCGCGUGUAUGAAGAAGGCCUUCGGGUUGUAAAGUACUUUCAGCGGGGAGGAAGGCGGUGAAGUUAAUAGCUUCACCGAUUGACGUUACCCGCAGAAGAAGCACCGGCUAACUCCGUGCCAGCCGCCGCGGUAA